This 390-nucleotide unclassified non-coding RNA is filed under the name soil metagenome. RNAcentral's name for it is "partial contains 5.8S ribosomal RNA, internal transcribed spacer 2, and large subunit ribosomal RNA". The stretch from base 1 to 121 matches the Rfam family "5.8S ribosomal RNA", at positions 35 to 154 of the family's 154-position model. The record is from RNAcentral.
GAUGAAGAACGCAGCGAAAUGCGAUACUUGGUGUGAAUUGCAGAAUCCCGUGAACCAUCGAGUCUUUGAACGCAAGUUGCGCCCUAAGCCUUAGGCCGAGGGCACGCCUGCCUGGGCGUCACACGUCGUUGCCCCCCCAUCUACUCCUUCGGGAUUGCGGGGGGCGGAUGAUGGCCUCCCGUGCGCCUCGCCGCGCGGUUGGCAUAAAUGCCAAGUCCUCGGCGACGCACGCCACGACAAUCGGUGGUUGCGAAACCUCGGUUGCCCGUCGUGUGCGGUCGUCGCGCAUCGAGGGCUCGAAAAAAUUGCCGGGUUCCGGCUCGGCUUUCAACGCGACCCCAGGUCAGGCGGGGUUACCCGCUGAAUUUAAGCAUAUCAAUAAGCGGAGGA